RNAcentral lists this ribosomal RNA (497 nucleotides) under uncultured bacterium. RNAcentral describes it as "partial 16S ribosomal RNA". It matches the Rfam family "Bacterial small subunit ribosomal RNA", at positions 28 to 507 of the family's 1533-position model. The record is from RNAcentral.
GAUGAACGCUGGCGGCGUGCCUAAUACAUGCAAGUCGAGCGAACAGACGAGGAGCUUGCUCCUCUGACGUUAGCGGCGGACGGGUGAGUAACACGUGGAUAACCUACCUAUCAGACUGGGAUAACUUCGGGAAACCGGAGCUAAUACCGGAUAAUAUAUUGAACCGCAUGGUUCAAUAGUGAAAGACGGUUUUGCUGUCACUUAUAGAUGGAUCCGCGCCGCAUUAGCUAGUUGGUAAGGUAACGGCUUACCAAGGCAACGAUGCGUAGCCGACCUGAGAGGGUGAUCGGCCACACGGGAACGGAGACCCGGUCCAGACUCCUACGGGAGGCACAAGUGGGGAAUCUUCCGCAAUGGGCGAAAGCCUGACGGAGAAACGCCGGGGGGGUGAUGAAGGUCUUCGGAUCGUAAACCUCUGUUAUUAGGGAAAAACAGAUGUGUAAGAAAAUAUGCACGUAUUGACGGUACCUAAUCAGAAAGCCACGGCUAACUACGUG